Molecule: ribosomal RNA, 253 nt
Filed under: uncultured bacterium
Lineage: Bacteria
Description: partial 16S ribosomal RNA
Rfam family: Bacterial small subunit ribosomal RNA
Source: RNAcentral
UACGGAGGGGGCUAGCGUUGUUCGGAAUUACUGGGCGUAAAGCGCACGUAGGCGGCUUUGUAAGUUAGAGGUGAAAGCCCAGGGCUCAACCCUGGAAUUGCCUUUAAGACUGCAUCGCUUGAACAUCGGAGAGGUAAGUGGAGUUCCGAGUGUAGAGGUGAAAUUCGUAGAUAUUCGGAAGAACACCAGUGGCGAAGGCGACUUACUGGACGAUUGUUGACGCUGAGGUGCGAAAGCGUGGGGAGCAAACAGG